GGUCAUAUGGGUAUAUUGCUCCUGGUAUGAUUUUGCACCUUUCAGAUUUUAAUAAAACUAUCAAGAUGUAGGACUAUAUAUAUUUCUUUUAGGCUUACAUUUAUCCUUAAGUUAAUUUUCUUAAAACAUUAGAGGUUGGUUUAGUUAAAUGCGACAGUUUACCUGAAAUUUUCUCUCUGUGACUAUAACUGACCUCUAGUUUACCUCGUAUUCAUGGCAGAGUAUGC
Molecule: unclassified non-coding RNA, 227 nt
Filed under: Hevea brasiliensis (rubber tree)
Lineage: Eukaryota; Viridiplantae; Streptophyta; Magnoliopsida; Malpighiales; Euphorbiaceae
Source: RNAcentral